This is a small nucleolar RNA of Carcharodon carcharias (great white shark), 220 nucleotides long. RefSeq annotates it as small nucleolar RNA U3. Lineage: Eukaryota; Metazoa; Chordata; Chondrichthyes; Lamniformes; Lamnidae. The transcript has a single exon. The record is from RefSeq and is a predicted model, not a curated record.
AAGGCCAUUAUACUCUUAGGGAUCAUUUCUAUAGUUUUUUUCUUGAGAGGUGUGUUUCUAGAGUGUUUGGUCUCACAAAUCAUGAGGAGGAUUUAUAGUGUUCUCUUCUGAGCAGGAAGCAGACAUUGGGUGUUGCUUUUAGCAGCUGCUCUUUGUCAUUGAUGAGUGUUCCUUCUCUCUCUUGUAGAGAGUUGGAGGAAGAGAACACAGUCUGAGUGGU